This 1309-nucleotide long non-coding RNA is filed under the name Cricetulus griseus (Chinese hamster). RNAcentral describes it as "lncRNA (ENSCGRG00015042169.1)". The record is from RNAcentral. Lineage: Eukaryota; Metazoa; Chordata; Mammalia; Rodentia; Cricetidae.
GCCACUUCCAAAUGGCUGAAAAUAAAAUGCAAGCUGAGUAGUGAGUGAAGCUGCAGGGGAGAGACAGAGGAGGAAUCACAGGCCUGCCAAGCUAUAUUUAUUUUGUAAAGAAUGGAUUUGUAUUAGUUAGAUUGGGAGGCACACACAUACAUGUGUGCAUGCAAAGAUGUACAUAAAAGGCUUUUAAAAUCAGACACUUGCUUUAUGUUUUUAAAAGGUAAGGGGAUAAGUUGUUUAGGAUUUGAUGCAGAUUUUGCUGUCAUGGAAGAUCCAGGUUCCUUCACUACCCUCUCAUCCCUAGGGUGUGGUGUGGCCUUUCUCCAGCCAUUGUGUCCUCAUAUCCAAGUGGACAGCCACACAGUUUCUACUUCAUUCUUCUAGAAAACAAAGGCACCAAUUUCAAAGCUCUUUUCCUCUUUGGUCCCUGAGUCCUCCACUUCAUUUGAGGAGAGCAAUGCCAUGAGCCCUGGGUGGAGGUGUGGGAGGCCAGGAUGUGAGGAGCAUACUUCAGAAAACAACAGAGAAAUGCACUAAAUGUCAGAGAGGGCAGCUUUGACAGAGUUGGCUUCACAGCAGCUGGAGACAUUGGUGAAGGUGCACCUUCAGUUUUGUAGAGCAGAACCCUGGUAACGUAGAAGCCCCCUUCUUCACAGCCUCCUUUCCCCUCAUGACAGGCUCACUCAUGGUGGAGUAGACGACGCAGAAGUUAGCUGGCCCUGAACCGAUGGGACAUACAUAGAGAAGGCUUUCCGGAAACUUGAAGAGAGCCGUGUCUUGUGCUUGCCCCUACUAUGUCCUUGACCCAAAUACAUACCUUAAGAUGAGAAAGAUGUCAGAGAUGGAGGAAAGAUGGAGAAAACUGAUGUGGGAGGUCACUGGGGGCAACGGAGAAGACAAGGAGUCAGCAACAGCCAAGCCACCCCUGCCACUACCAAAGGGUUUCUCUGUAUUGCUUUGGAGGUUGUCCUGGAACUCGCUCUAAUUCACAGAGAUCUGCCUGCCUCUGCAGUGCUGGGAUUAAAGGCAUGUGCCACCAACGCCCGGCCUGUGCAACUUUUUAGGAUUUUUUUCUUUUUAAGACAAUGUCUUAUUCUAGCCCAGAUUGCCCUGAAAUUCACUGUGUAGCCUAAGCUGGCCUCAAAAUUGAAGCAAUUCUCCUGCCUCCAUCUCCUAAUCCUGGGAUUAUAGGUGGGAGCCACCACACCCACCUCAGUAACUAUUUAGUUUAAAAGGACACAAUAACUAUAAUUUAAUUUAUUAUUUUUUUCCUCAUUUUUCUAGUGUUCAUAGCAUUCUACUGUGAUUGGGC